UGCUAAACAAAGAGAGAGUCACAUUAUAUAUAGAUAUAGAUAGAUAGGUAAAGCGAAAGAUAAUUAGAGAAUUAGCUGAACAGAAAUGUAUAAUCCACUGCAUGGCCCUUCCCAUAACGUUACAAGGGAAGCAAUUAAUAUCCACACAGUAUCAAUCAGAACAAGGCGACAAUCCCAAACAGCAGCAAUUUUCCUAUCAUACAAUUUUCCCGCCUUUUUCUCACUUUUGCCUUGCUAGUGCCACCACCUUCAUGAGAGAAAAUAACAACAAGAACUCGACACAACAUCGGGUUAGCAAUGUCACUUAACAGAUUAUUGACGUUGCGAAAGGAGUUACCAAAACUGCAGUAUUCCCUGUUAUGGGCUUGAGACUGGCUGCAUUCUCCAGUUGUUGCCAUGCAACCUUCCGCUUCUCAGCCAGCAAGCUUAGUUUUUCUUCACUGUCCUUAAACUGAGCAAGGCAGGAGAGGAACAGCGCCUCAUCCAUCUCUGAGAACAAUUUUCUGACAUUCAGAGUUAAGUUAAGCACUGCUUGAUUCCAGUGGCUAUGAGCAUUCUUCUCUAAUGCUGGAAAUAUAAUAGGCAGUAUCGCAUGCCGGUUAUGUGCAAUCAAGUUGACAAUUUGGUCAUUGUUCCACAAGAAAAGGGCUCUUUCAGCCACCUGAAAGUGGAAACUGCUAAUGCAGCAUCCAAUUCGCCAGAACAAUGGAACCAUGACCUUUUGGAAUUCCACCAUGUUAAUAGCUUCCAAAAUCUCUUCCAACUCACCCAGAAACAUUAACUCCUUCUGGCUAUUAGUUAUUGGCCAGUAUUUCAAUAUCCCUUUAAUCACUAUACUAGCCAACUUGGGCUCCUUCUCCAUAAACUGUGUGACACAAUAAGACAGCUGCUGAAAGUAUAUCCCUAAAGACUUUGGCUUAUGCAGAGGUAUCAAAACCCUCCACAAGAAAAUCUUAUGCUCCUCUUUCAAAGGCAAGGCAAAUCCACUAAUUAUACUCCCAAAAAUCUCCAACAACUCUGCAAUCCCAUUAUGCUUCUCUGUCUCAAACACAAAUCUAUAGAAUAUAUUGCUUAUAGACUUUCGAAUAAACGGCCUAUGCACCAUAAAUUUUCCAUAAACCUUGUGCAAUAUAGUCUUCAGACAAUCCCUUUCUCUUGGAUCCUCAGAAUCGAACAAGUCGAGCAAUCUCAAUAUAAAUGAAUGAUCUAUAUACUUCUUAGCAACUUUGGCAUCUAAGCACGUAGAAGUGAUGAAUCUAAGCAACAGAUCAUACACAAUUUGUAAAUGAGGCCAAGCGGGAUCGAACACUGGCUCAUCAUUGUCAUCAUUUUCACUCAUACUGAUCGAAUUAGACCUGUAAUUUGGAGGGAACACCCUAAAUAAAUUAACAGCAGACAUUCUACACAUGGCUAAAAUGGCUGGUUCGCUAAACUUCAUGGACCCAGAAGCCACAAAAUCUACGAGCUCGAGUAAAGUCUGCCUCUUUACAUCCUUUUCUAGCGUGUUCUUAGUUGGGUCAGUGAAAUCGAAGGUUACACAACAGAGACUUACUUUUCUCACGAACAGGUUCAUUCUCUCUGCACUGCUCACGUCCUUGAAUGGCACCAGAGGCUCAAUCCCAGCCACUACACUGGCUGGAAACACCGCAGAAGAAGUCCGUUUAGGACCAUUGGAUUUGGCUCUGGAGCCCGUGCUUGAACCGUUGGAUCGCUGAGUUGACUGCGACUCAGGGCUAGUUAAAUCAGCUGACUCAGGCUUCAACGAUUUCCUAGGGAGUUUGCUCAAGAUUUGCUUCAACAUGGCGAAAGAUUAAAACUUUAUCUUCUCCUUUGUUAUAUUCCCCCAAAAGGAAUACAAAUCAAGGACAGUGUGUCAGAUCAUGGCCAUUGGAGAUGGAUCUGAAGGGGAUUGAAAGAAUGUGGUCAGAUCCAAAGGUUUGAGAUUUGUUGAAAGGCGAAGAAAAAGCCAGUGCCUUGAAGCACAUUUAGGUGAGAGAGAGAUAUCAGACCUUCACCAAAAAAAAAAUCACAGCCAGCAAAUGGGUUUUUACUUUCAAGUGCAUAAAACAAAACCCAUUAGUAAUUAGUCUCAUUUUGGAAGGAAGGAACAGACUCACAGAAUAGAGAGAUUCAGGAAAUGGAAAUAAAUAUAUUUAUACAUAUAUAUAAUAGAGACAGAGAAUCUGAGGUUCUAAGUUGGAAAGAGAUCUGAGCCUCUGAGGAAGGAGGAACAUGAUUUUAUAUUUGAUGAUGUUAAAGUUUG
This 2263-nucleotide unclassified non-coding RNA is filed under the name Hevea brasiliensis (rubber tree). Lineage: Eukaryota; Viridiplantae; Streptophyta; Magnoliopsida; Malpighiales; Euphorbiaceae. The record is from RNAcentral.